This 682-nucleotide long non-coding RNA is filed under the name Theobroma cacao (cacao). Its description in RNAcentral is "long non-coding RNA (TCAC_LNC004967)". The record is from RNAcentral. Lineage: Eukaryota; Viridiplantae; Streptophyta; Magnoliopsida; Malvales; Malvaceae.
CCCUCAACUGACUAAGAAGAUGUAGGGCUAUAAACCCUUACUUUCUAGGAUGCAACUCCGAGAUUAAUUCUCGUCUUAAUCAACUAUCAACAAAUUGUUCUAAGCUUGAAAAAUGGAUAGGAAGAGGGGUGAGAUUAUGAUUACAUAAUCCUAGUGAGUAGACAGACAUCAUCAAAAUAAUCUAAAGCCGAGUAAUAGGAGACAAUUAAAAUAAUUCAUCCCAACCCAUAUAAAUAAUUGAAUUUCAUUCAAUUACUCAACAUGGCUUAUGCACUUUUCAAAAACUUGGCCAUUGCCAAAAAUUCAUUCUCGGGGAUACCCCGCGGAGGCAUCUUACCGAGACCGCCAAGGCUGUUUAUUGUCAGACACACAAACACAUUUCACCUCUGACAACACAGUCGUUCCUUGGCGUUGGCUGAGUCUCACUCUCACGUGGUGGCCCGAACGUGAGGUGCACUCAAAUCCUACCUCGAGAGUUAUCCUACACGCCUCUCCAAUCGAGGUAAGCUCAAUAAUUGGGAAUCGUGCCCCUCUAAUUAGGCUAGCCCACGGAACCUCCGUCACUGCAGUGCCCACUUUAUAAUCCACCAACCAAUAAAAUCACAAUAGUAUGACAUGGCUCACUUAACACAUUCAAGGCAAAUCAAAGCAGUUCACAUAUUCUUUAAAUCAUAAAAAUAAC